This 468-nucleotide ribosomal RNA is filed under the name uncultured bacterium. RNAcentral's name for it is "partial 16S ribosomal RNA". It matches the Rfam family "Bacterial small subunit ribosomal RNA", at positions 28 to 507 of the family's 1533-position model. The record is from RNAcentral.
GACGAACGCUGGCGGCGUGCUUAACACAUGCAAGUCGAACGGAAAGGCCCUGCUUUUGUGGGGUGCUCGAGUGGCGAACGGGUGAGUAACACGUGAGUAACCUGCCCUUGACUUUGGGAUAACUUCAGGAAACUGGGGCUAAUACCGGAUAUGAGCUCCUGCUGCAUGGUGGGGGUUGGAAAGUUUCGGCGGUUGUGGAUGGACUCGCGGCUUAUCAGCUUGUUGGUGGGGUAGUGGCUUACCAAGGGUUUGACGGGUAGCCGGCCUGAGAGGGUGACCGGCCACAGUGGGACUGAGAUACGGCCCAGAAUCCUACCGGAGGCAGCAGUGGGGAAUAUUGCAGAAUGGGCCGAAGCCUGAUGCGGCAACGCCGCGUGCGGGAUAACGGCCUUCGGGUUGUAAACCGAUUUCGCCUGUGACGAAGCGUGAGUGACGGUAAUGGGUAAAGAAGCACCGGCUAACUACGUG